This 254-nucleotide ribosomal RNA is filed under the name uncultured bacterium. RNAcentral describes it as "partial 16S ribosomal RNA". It matches the Rfam family "Bacterial small subunit ribosomal RNA", at positions 524 to 776 of the family's 1533-position model. The record is from RNAcentral.
GACGUAGGGCGCGAGCGUUGUCCGGAUUUAUUGGGCGUAAAGAGCUCGUAGGCGGCUUGUCGCGUCGAAUGUGAAAACCCACGGCUCAACUGUGGGCUUGCAUUCGAUACGGGCAGGCUAGAGUUCGGUAGGGGAGACUGGAAUUCCUGGUGUAGCGGUGAAAUUCGUAGAUAUCGGGAGGAACACCAGUGGCGAAGGCGGCGAUCUGGGGAAGAUACUGACGCUGAGGUGCGAAAGCGUGGGGAGCGAACAGG